This 253-nucleotide ribosomal RNA is filed under the name uncultured bacterium. Its description in RNAcentral is "partial 16S ribosomal RNA". It matches the Rfam family "Bacterial small subunit ribosomal RNA", at positions 524 to 776 of the family's 1533-position model. The record is from RNAcentral.
UACGUAGGGGGCAAGCGUUGUCCGGAAUUAUUGGGCGUAAAGAGCGUGUAGGCGGCUCGGUAAGUCUGGUGUGAAACCUUGGGGCUUAACCCCAAGCCUGCACUGGAUACUGCCUCGCUAGAGUCCGGGAGGGGAGAGCGGAAUUCCCAGUGUAGCGGUGAAAUGCGCAGAUAUUGGGAAGAACACCAGUGGCGAAGGCGGCUCUCUGGAACGGUACUGACGCUGAGACGCGAAAGCGUGGGGAGCGAACAGG